UGCAAGUCGAGCGGACAGAAGGGAGCUUGCUCCCGGAUGUUAGCGGCGGACGGGUGAGUAACACGUGGGUAACCUGCCUGUAAGACUGGGAUAACUCCGGGAAACCGGAGCUAAUACCGGAUAGUUCCUUGAACCGCAUGGUUCAAGGAUGAAAGACGGUUUCGGCUGUCACUUACAGAUGGACCCGCGGCGCAUUAGCUAGUUGGUGGGGUAAUGGCUCACCAAGGCGACGAUGCGUAGCCGACCUGAGAGGGUGAUCGGCCACACUGGGACUGAGACACGGCCCAGACUCCUACGGGAGGCAGCAGUAGGGAAUCUUCCGCAAUGGACGAAAGUCUGACGGAGCAACGCCGCGUGAGUGAUGAGGGUUUUCGGAUCGUAAAGCUCUGUUGUUAGGGAAGAACAAGUGCGAGAGUAACUGCUCGCACCUUGACGGUACCUAACCAGAAAGCCACGGCUAACUACGUGCCAGCAGCCGCGGUAAUACGUAGGUGGCAAGCGUUGUCCGGAAUUAUUGGGCGUAAAGGGCUCGCAGGCGGUUUCUUAAGUCUGAUGUGAAAGCCCCCGGCUCAACCGGGGAGGGUCAUUGGAAACUGGGAAACUUGAGUGCAGAAGAGGAGAGUGGAAUUCCACGUGUAGCGGGGAAAUGCGUAGAGAUGUGGAGGAACACCAGUGGCGAAGGCGACUCUCUGGUCUGUAACUGACGCUGAGGAGCGAAAGCGUGGGGAGCGAACAGGAUUAGAUACCCUGGGUAGUCCACGCCGU
Molecule: ribosomal RNA, 765 nt
Filed under: Bacillus safensis
Lineage: Bacteria; Bacillati; Bacillota; Bacilli; Caryophanales; Bacillaceae
Description: bacterial SSU rRNA
Rfam family: Bacterial small subunit ribosomal RNA
Source: RNAcentral